UUCCUCCAUCUUUGUGUUUCUUCCUCUCUCUGUGAAGUGCAAAAACCUCUUUAUGUUUCUCUACAUCGAAACCCCUUCCUUCCUCUUUGUGUUUCGAAGAUCCUUUUCUUCAAUGUAGAGAAUAAAUACCGCUUUGGAAAGAGCUUUGACAUGAAGUUGAACAAAAAAUGCAAUGAUGGUCCUAAUAUUAGCAUGCCAUAUUUGCCAUACACAAUGUCCUCACAAAAUCAAAAGCUUUUGUAAAUGGCAGUGAAAGUGUCUGAAUAAAAAGUUGAUGGGAGAACUCCAUAUAAGCAUAACAGAAUAAACUAUGAGUACUCACAAACUUGGAUUAAAAGAAGGUUAUACUCUUGAUCUUAUUUUUUUUCAUUUAUUUUUCUAGGUGGUUGGGUCGGAUUUGAAGGCGAUUACGCUAUGCCCUUGUGUUUUUGUGUAUUGGACGAAUUGUGCUUUGUGCCAUCGCAAUUAUUGGCCAAAAGUCGAGGAGGACCGUUGGAGAGCUAUUCAACUUAAAUGCAGAAAAAGAUUCCCCCAUAAAGAAUAGAAAAAGAAAUUGAGUGCACGGCCAUAUCUUGUAUGCUAAUCAACUCAUUCACCCAAAAAGGAAUGGGUCCAGAUAGUAUAGCUUAUCAUUUCAAUCUGCAAUAUCAAACGCCAAAACCAGUAUUUUUCCAUUAACUACCCGAGACGCCAAGUCAGUGGCUGCAUAAAUAAGCAUAGAGGUGACGCUCUUCGUUAAGACCAGCCAGGACUUCACCAUCCCCAAGUAUCACCCCACAAAACCAACUUUUGAGACCGAUGAAGAAGAAGAAGAAGAAGAAGAAAACUAGAAAGGCGAAGAGAAGAAAGAUGGGGUGAGUUCGUAUUCUCAAGUUCCCCCGAGGAAAAUGGAGAACCGAAAAUAAGCUCUAGGCGGAAAGCAACUUACAACUUGGACUUGCAGGUACUAUGCUGACCGACUGGGGAUUACAAUUUUUUUUUUUUUCAAAUGUAACAGCUGACGUAGCAUACUGCCACGUCAGCCGACUGCCCGCAGUUUGCGAGUGGGGACUGCCUCUAGAAGAAUUGCUACAAUAUUGCCCACCCUGUUCUGUUCAAUCCAAGGUAGAAAAAGUGGCUUAAUUAGUUAGCAUAUUCAGGCAAACUCUGCUCCUUUCUUUUUAUAACAGACACUCUCCCAGCUUACAUGAACAGUUGGGUUGGGAUUCCA
Molecule: long non-coding RNA, 1210 nt
Organism: Carya illinoinensis
Lineage: Eukaryota; Viridiplantae; Streptophyta; Magnoliopsida; Fagales; Juglandaceae
Exons: 2
Source: RefSeq, a predicted model, not a curated record